This 471-nucleotide ribosomal RNA is filed under the name uncultured bacterium. RNAcentral's name for it is "bacterial SSU rRNA". It matches the Rfam family "Bacterial small subunit ribosomal RNA", at positions 330 to 793 of the family's 1533-position model. The record is from RNAcentral.
AGAGCACUCCUACGGGAGGCAGCAGUGGGGAAUAUUGCACAAUGGGGGAAACCCUGAUGCAGCCAUGCCGCGUGUGUGAAGAAGGCCUUCGGGUUGUAAAGCACUUUCAGUAGGGAGGAAGGUAGUGUAGUUAACACCUGCAUUAUUUGACGUUACCUACAGAAGAAGCACCGGCUAACUCCGUGCCAGCAGCCGCGGUAAUACGGAGGGUGCGAGCGUUAUCCGGAUUUAUUGGGUUUAAAGGGUCCGUAGGCGGAUUAAUAAGUCAGUGGUGAAAUCCCAUCGCUUAACGAUGGAACUGCCAUUGAUACUGUUAGUCUUGAAUGAGGGUGCAGUGGUUGGAAUGUGUAGUGUAGCGGUGAAAUGCAUAGAUAUUACACAGAACACCGAUUGCGAAGGCAGAUCACUAACCCUAAAUUGACGCUGAGGGACGAAAGCGUGGGGAGCGAACAGGAUUAGAUACCCUGGUAG